ACCCAUUACAUCCACUCAUUACCACAACACUCAUCACUACCACCUUAAUUAGAUGGUGGUCCUUUCCCUAGCCUAUAAAUACAUCCACCCUUCACUAUAACAAAUGGGAGAACACAAUCCUCCCAUCCACCCAUCCACCCUUCACCAUAACUCACCUAUAUCCAUCCACCACCAUAAUUUACCACUCAUCCAUCAAACCACACCUUGUACCGCAACAAAGAGAAGAAGGAGGACCCUUGGACGUGCUUGCCAUUCAAGUUGGAUUGUUUGAGUGUUUUUAGGUGUUUUCAUUCUUUUGUUUUCAAUGUCUAAAUUUGUUUAUCUUUGCUUUGUGAGUAUGAGGAACUAAACCCCCCUUAGCUAGGGGGAAUUUGAAACCAUGUUCAUGCUUGCAAUAUGAUUUGAUUACCUUCAGUUGUGAUUUCAUAAGUUGUGAAUUCAAUUUGUUUAACUGCUUGAUUGAUAACUUAUUCGUGUAUGUUUAUUAAGAGUGCACACUUAGUUUGCAUGCAUGAAUAUGAUGCUAGAGUAUAAGGGAGUUUCACCUAAUAGUUACAAACUUAUAUUCACAAGUAGUGGAGGUCGCUUAUAAACGAUUGCGUUAAAUAAAUUCUUGGCAGGAGUUUCAUGCUCAUCAUAGUAAUGAGUGCCUCGUCAAUACUUAUAGUUUUCAUAAUACUUAAUGAUCUUUGAUUGUAUCUUUAUUGUGCUGUUCACGUAAAGAACUUUUGAAGAAUGCUUGAAUUGUUGUAUGCACUUUCCCAUCCAAUUCAAUAACUUAAGGAGAACUUGAAGGUUAAUUUAAGCGGACUUAAUUAACCUGGGGUGUUGAGUUUCAUGAUUGAUCGAAAGAACAACUGAAAAUUGGUUUAUGUGCAAGUAUGUCAUGUGUGGAGAAGAACCUCCUAGCUAGCCUUCCAUCCAUUCAAUUUACUCAAAUUCGAGCAGAUUUCAUUAGUUCUUUAAUUUACUUGUUUUGUUUUCAAAUUCGUCAAAACCAAAACCCCCUUUACUUUAAAGUGUUUUAUUAGUCAAAAUCUGUUUUGAUUUGUGUUUUUAGGUGUCCCAAAAGUGUGUUAGAGUCCAAAUCUACUCAGUUUGUGUUUUUAGGCAGAUUUGAGCGUUUUUAGCUUGUUUUGAGUCCUUUGAGUUUGUUUUAAGUUCUUUGAGUCUAGUUUAGUGUUUUUAACUUUGUUUAUAUGUUUUUAACUCAGUUUAGAGGUUUUAGCAAGCCCUCCUAAUCCCCGGUUUAGAACGAUCACUACUUGCAUUUAUACUACAAUUUGACAACAAAAGGGUUUAAUUUGUGUGUUAAGUUAAUUUUCGCAUCAAAUUUUUGGCGCCGUUGCUGGGGAUUAGCAACUUUUCUAAUCCUCCAUUGUUUCUUUUUCAUGUUUUUUGUUUUAGUUACUGACUUUGUUUCUAUUUGUGUCUUUUAUUUUUACUUAUGAUAUUUGAUUUAGUUUUGUUUCCUUGAUUUCAAGUACUAGAGAAGUAAGACAUGGAUUUUGCUACCAUUCAAGCUCAAUUGGUGAAACUUACUUCUCAAUUGUCACAAUAUGCCGAAAGGACCACAAUGCAAAGUGUCUCUACAGAUGGUGUGUCUUAUGGGCAAGGAUAUCCAACUCAUCAAUGUUCUCAAUUCGCUACGAAUGAAGAUGCUUGGGGUUAUCAAGGCCAUAGCCAAUUAGGGGACAACAUGUUUUCCAACGCUUACAAUUAGGAUUGGAGAGAUAAUUCAGAUUACAUGUGGGGAGAACCUCAACAAUUCCAACAAGGUGGGUAUUGGCAGCAAGAAGAGGAAUUCUAUUCAAGACCUAUGCAACCACCACAACAAUCUGCCUAAUUCAAUUCAGGUACGUCUUUGGAUAAUGAUAUGUUUAAUAAGUUACUCACCUAUUUGAACCAAGAAGUAGAAAAUGGAAACAAAGAAAUGCAAAAUCCAGCCAAGAAGACGGGAGAAUUGGAUAAGCAAAUUGGGCAUAUUAUGGAGUUCAUGGCACAAAUUCAAGAGCAAAGUGAACUCUCCAACUCAACUAAUGAAAAUUUGAAGGAAGAUUUUGAAAUCCAUGAUGCUAUCACUUUAGGAAGUGCUAUAGAGGUUGGAGGUGAACCGAAGACAUCCAAACCAAGCCAAAACAUGGAUAAACAGUUGCUGCUCAAAGAAUAGGAGAAUAACAAGGCCACGGCAAGGGAAGAACCACCCUUGCCGCAGCCUCAUAUGCCUUUUAUGCCAUCCAUUACAACCAAGGUAAGCCUAAAUUCAAUUUGUCCUGACCCCGUUUCACCAAAUGUCCUUAUUCCUUGCAGGAUCAUGCAAUCCAAGGAAGAAGAGGGUGAAAAAGGCAUAUUCGAAACCUUUCCAAAGAAUCAAGAGCAAGAAGUGGAUGGGGAAUGUCUAGAAUUCAUCAAAGAAGAUACAUUUGAGAAAAAAAUUCCCAAAGAAGUUGGAUUUUAUAACACGGGACAAGUUAUAACUAUUAAAACACCAAAUCUGGCUAAGUCCCAUAUCCCUGUAACCUUCAAAGAUGUGGUGUUCGUAAUUGAGUCUGUGUUGGAGCAAGCAAGUAAUCUAUCUUCUCCAACUUCGAUUUUAUUAUAUACUAACUUGCUGAUUUUGAUGAUUCAGGCACCUACACUAGAAUUUAAACCAUUGCCGGAUCACGUCAAGUAUCACUGUCCAUUCAAGGAUCAAUUCCAUGCUAUGGGCCCUAUCCAAGUUUAGAAGGAAGUUUUGUCCGGCUGGAAGACGUUAAAGCAAACGCUUCUUGGGAGGCAACCCAUGUAUUCGAAUAAGGAAGAUUUUUGAAUUGCUCCACGAUUGGUUUUACAUUCCUAAAAACCUUCCCUUUUCUGUAGUUUUAUUUUGCCAUGAUUGUCUUUUUUAUUUGUUGCUUGUUUAAUUAUUUUUGGUGUGGGUUUAUUUUUAAAACACUGACAGUUAUGCAAGGUAUUUUUACAUUCAUUUUCAUAAAAUAAAAAAGGAACAUUAAGCAGAAAAAAGCUACAAGAGGGAGCCUUCACAAAGGCUGCUUAGGAGAAGUUUUAGUAGUCGGCGGAGCCUCAGCAGCCGACGGAGCCCCAUAAGGAGGAAGCAUCGGAGAUUGAUCAUUUAGAGCUUCAUUACGCGGUACAGCCUCAGAAGACGAAGGCAAAUGCUGUUGGAACAAACCCACAAACCUCUGAUGAUCAAGUAAAAUCUGACCAUCAGAUUCCUGCAUCUGGUUAAUCUUCCUCUUCAUGUUUGUAGCAUAGUUAUGUGCGAGCCUGUGCAACUGUUUAUUCUCAUGCUUGAGCCCUCUAAUCUCCUGUUUGAGACUCAUCACUUCAGCCGCCAAUGAUUUAACUUGACGUGUUCGAGCCAAUAGGCAUUGGGCCAUAUUAGACACAAAACCUGCACAUUGCACACUGAGAGCCAGAAAAUCCUUAAUAGCCAACUCAUCAGACCGUUUGGCAAGUAGUCUGUUAUCUUUGGGAGUGACAAGGUUCCUGGCCACCACCGCAGCUGUCAUAUCAUUCUUCAUCACCGAAUCCCCAACGAUAAGGGGACCAGUAGGGGAUAUGAAGGAUGGGUUCCAUAUGUUGUUUAGAGAAGGCGGGACUGCCUCUUCACCAAGGUUCAAGUCAAAAUGACGGUCAGAGGGGCUGGACAUUUUCAGAGGUGUUAAAGAAAGAAGAGGUGGGACAAGUCAAGAUUAUAGAAGUGCAAGAAGGGAGUUUCUACAUGCAGAAAUUUUAGUGUGCUUUGAACGUCCUGCGUACCUCUAUAAAAAUCAACACUCGACGGGAUUUCAGAGAUCGAAGAGGCGAGCUCAGAAAUCGAAGAGGCCAACUCAAAAAUCGAAGAGGCGCUAGCUUUCUCAAAAACUGGGCUUGCUCAGAAACCACAGCCAAUCUUCUUUUCCAGAUUUGUCCGCACUUGUCACAUGCAACCUCUGCACUUGACGGGAUUUCAGAGAUCGAAGAGGCAAGCUCAAAUAUCGGAGAGGCAUCUACUUUUCUAGACGUGUCAGCAUCUGUCACAUGCAGAGUUAGCUUUACGGAAAUCAUAGGCAGUUUGUUGAAGCGCCGAUUCCAGAUAUCGAAGAGGCACUUGCUUUUCCAAACGUGUCAGUGCCUGUCACAUGCACACUCAGCCUUGCUGAAAUUACAGGCAAUCUGUCGAAGAUCUCUUAUGAAGUAGAAAGCACGUGAAGUUUACUAUUAAAUCAUCCAACGGUUGCUGACAAGAGUGAAAUAAUAGUACCGGUUAUUAAUUCCUAUAAAUGUCACCCUUCACCUUCCAUUGCAAGGCAAACAUACAUAACCCUUCUUCUUCUCCGAGAAUACCUUUCCAACAAACCCUUUUGAGUCACUCAAUGUUCCUUAUUCCUUGGGGUACCUCUGCAAAUAACUCAUCCAAAGCAAAAGUAUUUCAUAUCAUGAAGGUUGAAAGCAAGAGUAUCUCAUAUUAUGCUUUCUCCAUGUCAUUCUCCUUGUCGUUGAUUUGGGACAAGGAGAAAGAGAGCAAUCAGCCAGCACUUGGUAUCAAUCUUCCGAUCUGGAACCGACUGCCUGGAACCCCUUCCUGAUUGCUUACUUAGCCUUGCUCUCGAGUAUUCAUCUUCAUUAUCUUAUGCUUCCUCUUCGUCUACCACAUCUGCCUGGGGAAUAGAUAAGGGAAGUGAAAAUGAUACCUCGAAGCAUGUGGAGACAAUGUGCUAAUUCAUCUGUAGCUAGGGACAAGGAGAAAGAAAGCAAGAGGUGGGCACUUGGAAAGAUUAAAGAAAGAAACAAACCAACACCUCUACCUCGUGUCUGCCUGCCGUGCAGAAGAAACAAGCAGAGAAGAAUGCAGACUGCACAAUCAAAUCAACCCAGCAGAAUGAGACUCAUUUGAAACCAAGGAACUCUCAUAUUCCUCGCUCAGAAUUCCAAACCAGUUCGAGAUCAAAGUUGUGGAAAGACAACAAGAUCAUCUAUCUCCAAAACCAGAUUUGCGUUCUUAAACUCUACUCUGUCUGGUUUUUACUUGCCAUACUUGUCAUGUUUAUUUGUUGUUUGUUUGUUUGCUUGCUUGUUUUUUGUGUGAGUUUAUGCUUGAAACAUUGAGGACAAUGUUUCAUUUAAGUGUGAGGGGGGGUAACCAUUGUUUUGCAUGAAAUUCUUUGGAGUUUAUCACCCAUUACUUCUAGUGUUGUUCCUUGAUGUUUUAAGUGUUUUUAAGCUGUUUUGGAGUGUUUCAGCGUGUUUUGACAUAAAAAUCCGAAAAUCUCAUUAAAAAUUUGAAAAACUGUUUUGAAAAACCCAAAAAGAGUUGUUUUUGUAUGUUUAUUUGUGUCUUAGGGUACCUUCCAACACAAUGAUGAGGAUUUGGUUUUUAAUUACAUGACUGUUAAAGAGAGUUAUAAAUAUGGAUGAAAAUUUGAUUUACUCUUUGGUGUAUGCUUGGUUGUGGUUAUAAUUUAUGAAUUCACAUGCAAUCAUAAAGGAAAAAUCAUUUUUUUAACAUGCUUGAAAGAAGGAACUCAAAUGUACGCUACAACCUUGUGAGACUUGAGCCUAAACGUUUAUUUGGAGAGUUAAUAAUCUGUGCGUCAUUGUUUUCUAAAGUCGUUGCAUGAUCUCAUUAUUCUUUGCUUGGUUGCUACUUAGAAGGCGUUUCAUCAUUUAGUUCCAAAUGCUAGAACUCAUGCCUAUUUCAUUCAAAGCAUGCUAUUGAUUUGCAUAACACAUUUUCAAGAUGAAGUUGUGUAGUGACCACCAAAGCCAAAUUGCCGUGCCCCUAUUUCAUUAUGUGUUUAAGUUUAACCCCGUUGAGCCUUGUUAAACCUAUGUUCUUUGUUAAACCACACUAUCCUUACCUAGCCUAGUUUUAGGACCAUUCAUACCCUUGUUCUUGAAGCAUAGUAAAGCAUGACUUAAAAUGAACUCCUUUUUUAUCAAUGUAUUGCAGAAAGUAAGUGUGGGGGAAGUGAUUCUUGUGUGUGUGUGUGUGUGUGCCAAAGUCCUUAAUAAGCCACGGGUAAAAAAAAAAAAAAAAAGAGUGAAAAGAAAAAAAAGUUUGUUAAAAAAGGGUCCAAAACAUUGAAUUCGGCCCUAAGUGUUGCAUGAAUCUUCCCUUUGUAUUUAAAAGUUGAUUCUGCAUUCUAAAAUGAAUUCCAAGUGUCUAUUUCAUUGCUUUGCUUGCUAUCGCUUUAAGAACGUUUGUUAUUCCUAUCAUUUCUUUGUUAGCCAUUACCCCCAAGCCUUGUUACAACCCUUGACUUCAAUCUUGAGUGUUGUGUGUUUCAAUAUGUGGAGUUCGAAAUUGGUAUGAGCAUAUGGUGUCAUUGGUACUCGCAUCUAAGUAGUAGCAUACAAUUCAUGAGAUCAUAUCUAAACAUGCUUAUUAACUCCAGAAAUUGCUUUCUUUGUUAUAACAUAUGUGAGUACUAGUCUUCCAUGUUUACAUCAAUCUUCUCACAUAUAACUAGUGUAGGGUGUGUAGUCAGAAAAUAUGUGUGAAAAUAGAGAGUAUCUAGUAAGGAAUUGAGGGAAUUCUCUAAGGCAUGUUACUACCUUCAAAAUGUUGUUUUAAUUAAUUAAAUGUGAGCUAGUGAAUGGUGACUAUGAUUAAGUAUGUUCGAGGGUAAGGAUUGCUUAAAUCUAUGUAAGUGGUGAUCUUUGGCAUGUCAUGUUUCAUUGAAAAUCCCUAAGGCAAAUGUUGGAAGGUUAGGUUGUGUUUUGUUUGUUUUGUUUCGUUUUGUUUCUUUUGUUUUGCUCGAUGACUAGCAAAAGCUAAGUGUCGGGGAAUUUGAUAGGAGCAUAUUUAUGCGACUUAGUUAGCUUGUUCUUGUGCAUUUGUGUUGUUAUUUCUUAGUUAAUUAUGUAUUUUAAGCUAUUUUCGUGUGUUUGUAGGUUCAAAUAACAAAGUUGGCAACAAAGUGCUAUUUGGAGCACUAUGGAGCAUUUUUGGGCCAAGAUUGGAUAGUACAAGCAUGGAGACAUGAGGAUGGACGUUUUUGAAGAUUAGAAGGCUAGAAAUCAGCAUGUGUGUGUGCAAGUGUGUUGACCUACAACUACAAACACUCCACCACUACACCCAUUACAUCCACUCAUUACCAAACAUCCACCCACUACACCCAUUACAUCCACUCAUUACCAAACAUCCAUCCACUACACCCAUUACAUCCACUCAUUACCACAACAUACACCACUUCCACCUUAAUUAGAUGGUGGUCAUCUCCCUAACCUAUAAAUACAUCCACCUUUCACCAUAACAAGGGAAGAACCAAGAGAGAACACAAUCUACCCAUCCACCCUUCACCAUAACUCACUAUAUCCAUCCACCACCAUAAUUUACCACUCAUCCAUCAAACCACACCUUGUACCGCAACAAAGAGAAGAAGGAGGACCCUUGGACGUGCUUGCCAUUCAAGUUGGAUUGU
Molecule: long non-coding RNA, 7409 nt
Filed under: Malus domestica (apple)
Lineage: Eukaryota; Viridiplantae; Streptophyta; Magnoliopsida; Rosales; Rosaceae
Description: long non-coding RNA (MDOM_LNC011471)
Source: RNAcentral